This 250-nucleotide long non-coding RNA is filed under the name Elaeis guineensis (African oil palm). RNAcentral describes it as "long non-coding RNA (EGUI_LNC002855)". Lineage: Eukaryota; Viridiplantae; Streptophyta; Magnoliopsida; Arecales; Arecaceae. The record is from RNAcentral.
GUGUGGCCUCUAUAUGACUGUAUGACUUAUAGGUUGUAAUUAACUUAUAACUUGUAAGAAAAAUUAUUAAGGGUCUAUUUGGAUGAUUAAAUCUAAAAUUCUAUAGAAUUCAUAGCCUAACCAUCAAAAAUAUAAAAUUAUAUGCUCGACUAGACCUAUUUUACAACUAUCCAUAACUACCUUUUGAGUGAAUUGGUCUGAAUCCCAUAGGAAGAAACAAAUGACCUCAACAAGUAAGUUUGUUCUCCCU